Molecule: long non-coding RNA, 328 nt
Filed under: Brachypodium distachyon (stiff brome)
Lineage: Eukaryota; Viridiplantae; Streptophyta; Magnoliopsida; Poales; Poaceae
Description: long non-coding RNA (BDIS_LNC004729)
Source: RNAcentral
GAGCUGAGCCGAACAAAGGCCGUCGUCUUCCUCCAGUUUAUCUUCCUCGAUUGGGAAAAGCUCCAUCGGAUCGGGACACGCGCCGCUGCUGCUCCAGCGGUAAUAGCGAGAUGGACGCCCGGGGUCUGCACGGAGACAGAAUUGGGCAUGCCCGAGAGGGUGCCCGGGGUCUGGGACUGGCCGAGAGGGGCGCCCGAGGGAGGAGGACACGAGCAGGAGAAUUGGGAGGGGCGCCCGAGGAAGGAAGCGCGCAGGGUCUGGCCCAGGCCGAGAGGGGAGCCACAUGGAGGUCCUGCUACAUCGCCGCCGCUCGUCGGGUGGCUCAGGC